Molecule: ribosomal RNA, 253 nt
Filed under: uncultured bacterium
Lineage: Bacteria
Description: partial 16S ribosomal RNA
Rfam family: Bacterial small subunit ribosomal RNA
Source: RNAcentral
UACGUAGGGUGCGAGCGUUGUCCGGAAUUACUGGGCGUAAAGAGCUCGUAGGCGGUUUGUUGCGUCGGCUGUGAAAUCCCGAGGCUCAACCUCGGGUCUGCAGUCGAUACGAGCAAACUAGAGUGUUGCAGGGGAGACUGGAAUUCCUGGUGUAGCGGUGAAAUGCGCAGAUAUCAGGAGGAACACCGGUGGCGAAGGCGGGUCUCUGGGCAACAACUGACGCUGAGGAGCGAAAGCGUGGGGAGCGAACAGG